UCCGUGUACUUGUAUGUACUGUUACGACACGUACAUGAUGCUAUGUCAAGUGAGGUUAAGUGAAUCUCAUAUUUCUGCUUAGAUGAUGUUUAUGGAUAGUUGACAUAAGACUAAUGACGUAAGGACUAAUGACGGGAUUAUGAAUAUGUUCUGUCACUUAAGUUGAUUUUCACUCAGUUGUACUUUUUUUCUUUUAAAAAAAAAAAAAUUAGAGUUUUGAUCUUUGACAUCAGUCAGUUGUAAUAACAGUCAUAACACUAUACAGUUCACAUGACGGGGCGGUGUUCAGUGAAACUGACAGCAGAAUUGUACGCUUUAUGACCGCUGAUAUCAGUUGGAAGAAGCCUUUAUAAAUAUUUAUUUAGGUUUUCAUCAAUUGUUAUGAAGAUCUUGCGUAGGUUUCGUUUUAUUUUGUUGUUUUUUUUUGUUUGUUUGUUUGUUUUUGUUUUUUGUAUCUCAAUGAACACCAUCCUUAAGUCAAGUGUUCCCCCAAGGUUUGUUUACAUGAAAGCGUGUUUUAAAAAUGAAAUUGCCAGCUGAGGCAGGUUUUUUUGUUGUUGUUUUUGUUGUUGUUUUUUAAACUACAUUGUCAGUGUGUUUAGUUCUCCUUUACUGUCUCUAAUGUCUACAUGUCUCCGGGCUCAUGAGGCUGCUUCAAGGAGGACUAGAACUUAUUUUGAUGCUAAAUUCAGUGCUCAGCUCUGACACGCAGAGCAUCGGCGCUAUGCGUUUUCCCCGCACAACCCUACAUGUUUUACAGACCACUGUAUCGUUCACGUAUUCGGUUCCCCAGAGUCUUGGACUAACCAAAGCAAGCGCUGCAUGAGACACCAGUUCCUCAGACAUGGACCUAUUGAUGGAUAUUUUUUUUUUUUUUUUUUUUUUUAAAUAAAUGGUGAAAGAUGGUACGGAUGUAAAAGUCUAACAUAACAAAUGUAUACCAGUCAAAAACAGGAAUGCACUCUUGAUCAAAUGUGACCAUGCAUCAUUUGUACCUCUUUGCACGAAGACGCUAUAAAAUGACUUUUUGGUGUGUGUGCGUGUGUGUGUGUGUGUGUGUCUGUGUGUCUCAUUUCAGUAAACAGCAGUUCAUUUCUGCAUUGAUACACGAUACGUACCUGCUGCAAUACCAGUUCACAGACACGAGGGGUGUUUCAGACUCCUGGUUCCACCCCAGCAGUUUCCUACUUUAAUGUCUCCCUUUGAGCUUCUAUUUAUGAUAAUAUACAUUUGUACAGAAAGGGAGAAGGAAUAUUUUGCAUCAUCUGUAGUGUUGAGGACUGUAGUCUAGGUGUUGGGAAUUUUAUGGCACUCAUGCAUGAAAGCAAUAAACGGUUUUAAAGAAAAGGUUGGGUUUUUUUGUUUUUGUUUUUUUGUUCAUCUGUGCAAAGAAUUGUAAGGAUGAUGUGAGGUAAGAGUUUACUCUGAGGCGGUAGAGGAGGUCUGAUAUGACUGGACGGCUGUCACCGCUGUUCUAUCUUUAUGAAAUUUUCCUUAAAUGUAUUACUGAACUUCACGCCAUGUUUUUAACCGACAAGAUUAAGACAAGUUAGUUCCUGUUCUUACUCAUAUAGCAGCUAUAAACACUCGUUCCCUCAUCGGACUCCUUUUCUCUAAAACAAAACAAAAAUGUCGCUGGUCAUGUUGGUGAGAAACCAGAGGUCCUGUUGGGAAGAUGUUUCCACGUCCAAAAAGCUCUGACACUUCAGAAACGUUUCCUUACAGAAAACUUCACCAUAUCAACGGUUCUAUAUAUUUUUUUCUCCCUUGCUUAAAUAAAAGCACCCUUUUAAUCCUUUUAUUAGCCUUAGGUUAUGUAACAUGUCCGCAGUAUAAGAUGAUACUGUAGAACCCGAAAUGUUUUGGAGCAAGUGCUUUGAUGUAAACU
Molecule: long non-coding RNA, 1888 nt
Organism: Ictalurus punctatus (channel catfish)
Lineage: Eukaryota; Metazoa; Chordata; Actinopteri; Siluriformes; Ictaluridae
Source: Ensembl